CCUGAAACCGUGUACGUACAAGCAGUGGGAGCACCCUUUUGGGUGUGACUGCGUACCUUUUGUAUAAUGGGUCAGCGACUUAUAUUCUGUAGCAAGGUUAACCGAAUAGGGGAGCCGGAGGGAAACCGAGUCUUAAUUGGGCGUUAAGUUGCAGGGUAUAGACCCGAAACCCGGUGAUCUAGCCAUGGGCAGGUUGAAGGUUGGGUAACACUAACUGGAGGACCGAACCGACUAAUGUUGAAAAAUUAGCGGAUGACCUGUGGCUGGGGGUGAAAGGCCAAUCAAACCGGGAGAUAGCUGGUUCUCCCCGAAAGCUAUUUAGGUAGCGCCUCGUGAAUUCAUCUCCGGGGGUAGAGCACUGUUUCGGCUAGGGGGCCAUCCCGGCUUACCAACCCGAUGCAAACUGCGAAUACCGGAGAAUGUUAUCACGGGAGACACACGGCGGGUGCUAACGUCCGUCGUGAAGAGGGAAACAACCCAGACCGCCAGCUAAGGUCCCAAAGUCAUGGUUAAGUGGGAAACGAUGUGGGAAGGCCCAGACAGCCAGGAUGUUGGCUUAGAAGCAGCCAUCAUUUAAAGAAAGCGUAAUAGCUCACUGGUCGAGUCGGCCUGCGCGGAAGAUGUAACGGGGCUAAACCAUGCACCGAAGCUGCGGCAGCGACGUUUAUGCGUUGUUGGGUAGGGGAGCGUUCUGUAAGCCUGCGAAGGUGGCAUG
Molecule: ribosomal RNA, 715 nt
Filed under: Salmonella enterica subsp. enterica serovar Bovismorbificans
Lineage: Bacteria; Pseudomonadati; Pseudomonadota; Gammaproteobacteria; Enterobacterales; Enterobacteriaceae
Description: partial 23S ribosomal RNA
Rfam family: Bacterial large subunit ribosomal RNA
Source: RNAcentral